Molecule: long non-coding RNA, 3167 nt
Organism: Hylaeus volcanicus
Lineage: Eukaryota; Metazoa; Arthropoda; Insecta; Hymenoptera; Colletidae
Exons: 3
Source: RefSeq, a predicted model, not a curated record
UUACAAUCUCGUCCGCGGAAGUGGCAGCGCGAAACGCUGAAGCGGUGAGCUACUUCGGUAUUGCAAUUUCAUAAAUUGUUCAGUCUGGAAAUGUCGCACGAUGACACACGAUUUCUCUACUUCCGUGUGUCGAAAUUUAUGCCUGUACACGUCGAAAUCCAAGCCAAUGACAAAUCAUUUCGACCGGGCUUGAUUUCCCUCAAUUUUACUUGCGCGUGCUGAAACCCAUCAGCCUACAUGAUGACCUUUUGACGAAGCAUUCUUAUCAUUGGAUAUGUCCUUUAUGUCACCAGUACACUAGGUUACAGCAAAUUUAUAUGAAAAUCAAGUAAAUUCCUAGUUUUUCAAUAACGGUGACUGAGUUUACAGUUAAAUCAAUGCCACUGGAUGAACGAAGUGCAAUCAUGUAAUAAUGGUUGAUCGUGCUACCAACCGUCAUCAAUAUUGUUAUUAUUUAUCAAAGACGAAUUACAACAAUAUUUUGGUGCUCUCCAAAAAUAGGAGCUGCAGCUGUGAAAUUCUAAUACUUUACCUGAGUGAAGGAUAUCUGGUAGUAAUUAUGAAAAUACCACAAGAAGAAUCGUGCAAGUAUUACAGGAAAUACGAUAAAGUUUGACAGCUACAUAUAUUGAAAUUGGCCAGUUGAAAUAUACUACGACCCGACAGAGUGUACAAUGGAAGGAACUAAGUGAUCUGUAUAUAAUUUGUAUGAAAAUUAUGAUUUCUAUUUUUAUUUUAUAGAUAAAACAGCGAGUAUUAGCAAGUAUUAGAGGAAAGCCACGUGGACUCUUUGACUGAUCUCGAGGACGCUGACUGAGCUUGCAGUCGGAUCAGAAGCCGUGUCGCAUUGCGGGGCGCAACUCUCUUUCUCUCUCUUGCUCCUUCUCCUUCUUUUGGUUCAAUCGUUCCUUACCACCUUUCUCGAACGUGCAUUGACAGCACGCCGGCGAGCAUUCCAAGUCCUUUCAGAAUCCCUUCGUUACUCGUCCUUUGCCCCGUAAUUACCACAAGAAUUAUAGAAGCCAGGGGUAGAAGGAGUCAUAAUUGCUAUUUCAUCGGGAGGGUGAAUCCGACAUGAAAGAAGGAAAUUGAAUAGACGCGCGGAAUUGUAUGGUUCCCGGAAAAUAAGGCAAAACCCUCGCGAGUUUUUAAGCUUUUCAAUUGGUACUUAUAUCAAUUAAACGGGGAUAUUAGUUGCAUGCCGCAAGUUUUGCACGCCUCGAUUCAAGUGGAAAACGAUAUCAAAGGGGAGGACAUAAUCUGAUGUCUAGAUUAGAUGUUCCUUGUUGAACGGAUCAACUAAUGGUUAAAAGGAAACACUGCGAACAGUUGGAUCGAGUGUUACCGAUUGUUUUGAUGUUUUGAGAUAUUUGAAAAAAGGAUGUUAACCUUUUCGGUGCUCUGCGCGAGUAUACUCGUCAAAUUAUUUUGUUUUUGUCGUGCUCAAGACGAGUUAAAUCGCAUGAGCUUUUUACAUAUGAAAGAGCUCAAGAUGAGUUAACUUAUUAACAAUAAGCUCAUGCGAUUUAACUCGUCUUGAGCACGACAAGAACAAAAUAAUUUGACGAGUAUACUCGCGCAGAGCACCGAAAAGGUUAAACAAUGGUUCAUUUCUGAAUAGUUAAGUCACCUGAAUUAUAUAUAAGGUACUUUUUGAUUCAAGAAUUUGUAAAUCCACAAUUAAUUAUCGGCAAUAUAAUGAAAAAGUUGUUAAAAACGUUAGUGAAAUACGUAGUGCACAUGGGGAAAAAUUCGGAAUUAUUGAUUACUUAUUGGCGUUUUUAAUACGUUAUCAAUCGUUCAUGAAUGUCAUAAGUGAUAUUUUUCGAAUUAGAACAAUUAUAUACAUUUUCAACUCAUUAAUCAUGCACUCACAAUUGUUAUCGCGUAUAUCAAACAACGCAAAAAUUGUAACAUUGAUAAUAUAUUACUGUGAAAAGAAUAAUUGAAAAUAAGAGAAAUUGAGAACCACUAUAAUAGUACAUUAAACAAAUAUAAAUUAUGAUUAUAAAAAGUAAAUUACCUUUUAUUUAAAAUAUCUUUUAAAAGCAUUAAUUAUUACAAAUUUGUAACAGUUUUUUCCAAUACAAGAUAAUCGAGAAAAGUGUUAAUGUAGUUAACGAAGAAGCAAAAUACAAAUACUCUUAUAAAGUACAUAUAUUUAUUACUUCGACAAAUCUGGAUCCUCUGAAUUUUCACGUUCGUUUUGUACACUAGUUUUGCAUAGAGUGAUUUAUUUGUAAUUGCUGUUCGGUGCAAUUACAUAGCACAAAAAAUAGUUCGUUUGAUGAAUCUUUAAGGGGAGCGUGCCAUUUGCGAACGCAUUAGCGAAUAUUUAUGGAGACGUUACAAGGAUGAGCCUUAAUGACUCGAGGCAUUACCUUUACAUACCGAAACGGCAAUCAGGAGUACGGAAACAGUCAACAGAAUUCUUUCUUGCAAACCGUUAUUAUUCUCUGGUGGAAGUACGAAAACAAUUACUCCAAACUUGACCUGCUUGAAAGGGAGAAGCGAAAGAUUAAUUCAAGGAUAAAUGAAGUAUUAACGAUAAACGUUUCCAAAAGAAAUUGCUUCGAUAAUUAGUUCAAUUGUGAUAAUUGUCGAUGGAAUACUUGAGCGAUAACCGAAAAACAAAUAAGGUCACUAGUUACUACAGAAUAACAAGAUAUUAAAGGUCGCUUGGUAUAACAAUUGAUGUUUACAAAUAAAAAUCGUUCAUUUUAUAUAGGUACAGAUAUUACCGUGUUAGAAGAAAUAUAUUUGUGUUUUUAUAUGUUACUUUGUUGUACGUAAAUAAAUAAUUUGUACUUAUCAAAUACAUAUUAGAGAUACAGAAAGAAUCGAUAAAUAUCAAAACAUGUACACUAUGUAGUAUGAUAAUAUUGUUUAAAACAAUUGUUUUGUACUAUUCUUGUACUGUCCUUUCUAAUGAAUAUAUAUAUUGAAAUAUAAAUACUGAAUACUAUACUGAAAUAUAAAUUAAUGUUAAAAAUGUAAAUAAUUUGAAGUAUAGGAAUUUUCCCCCUCUUCUGUAAUUUUUAUUUAUGUAAAACAGUACCGUACAAAACAAUUGUUAUAUAUGUAUAUACAUGUCGAAUUGAGUAACCUCCUCUUUUUCAAAGUCAGUUACAAAGAAGAAAAAUGAGAGCGAUACAUAAUACCGUGGU